AUGGCGUUGGCCAGCUGCGAGGCAAGCCCUCCUAAUCCCCCCUCCUCCUCAUUUUCCUUUCAAACCUAGAUGUUGGUUUCCUAUAGUAUAACCAGUGCGUACUUCGAUUGCUCGCAUGCACCUUGAUUUCCAUUAAGCAAUAUUUUGCAUCUGCCACUGGGCAGUGUGAUGCUCAAACUUUUAAGUGACGCUUGUGGACUUUGGAUUGCUUACAGGUUGGUGGAAAUUCAUUUUUUUUUUGAGUUAGCCGAAUAUUAGGUGUUCGUUGAAAUAAAACAUAUGUAUGUGUGACCCUUAGGUGUUCGUUGAAAGUCCCCAUACGAGUUGAUGUUUCAGAUUUUAAGUACUGUGUGUUCUUCAAUGGACCAAUUCAUGGCUUUCAUCUUUAAUGCGUGUGUCUUCAUGUUUUGUAGGCAGUCACCACACAUAACUAGCCAAGCCCCUGAUGGCCCGAUCAUGCUCGCGGUUGGCUAUUUUAAAAUGUUUCUCUUUUAUCUGUUGUGUGCUCAUUGAACUAUGGUGAUUAUGCUUGUCAGUUCGUUAUCAAGGUGAGUUGAGGUAGAUAGCACGGGCUGAUAUUGAAAAAGAAAAUGUCAUUGUGAUGGUAAGCAAAAUAUUACGUUUUCAUUAGUGAAGGACUAUAGAGAGUAAGAGGUCUUGAUGAGAUGCUUACAUGACGUGAAUAAUUAAUUUUAGGUGUAUCAUGGGCCCUGCUUCAUUGUUCAGUUAUGUCGCUUGUAUUCGUGGAUCAAUUGCUGGACAUAUAAAGUUCAGUUUUCACAGAUAGCAAAAGUUGCAAAACUAGGUGUGCUGAAUUUUGUUCAAAGUGCAACCUUCUAUUACCGAAAAAGGGUUUUCCCCCGCUUUGUAUACAAAGCAGCCAGCCGAACCAUACAGGGAUAGGUGCUGGGGCGGAAGCAGCACAGUCACGCCCAAAAGAAACGACAAAGAAAGAGCAAAAAAACCAAUGCCGAUAACGGCGGAUCAACAAAAAACGAAGAAGCCUCGCGAUCGCUGCGCCCACCGAGAUCUUCCACUAGGCUCCAAGACUCCGAAGCGCCGGCACCUAUCAACACCUUGAGGAAGGAUCGCGACGAUGACGACGCUGUUGCCAAUGGUUUCCCCCGGUACACGACGAGGCGAGAGGAUGGGUAAGUGCAACCUUCUAUUUGAUGAAGCAAAUAAGGUUUACCUGUAUACCAACUGUAAAAGAGUUACGACACAAGGUCCAAAUCACUUUUUUUGUACUACACCAACAAUAAAAGAGUUACAACACAAGGUCAAGAUCACCUUUUUUGUACUACACUGGGAUUGAUCCUGUAUGUUGUUGUGGCAACCCUGUUUUACUUUGGUCUAUUUUCUGGUAUAUUUCUGCUUACUGAAAAUAGAUGGAAAUUCUAGCAUAUGAUUGCAUUGCUUGAAUUGCCCUUGACAGGUUGCAGUGUGUGUACGGCAUCUUAUAUAUACUAUGGGUGGCUAAUUUAGGUGGUUACGACCACUAUCUUGCCUUCUUACUCUCUUGGGAGGGAGGGGUUGAAGAAGAAGUAUGCCCCGUUGACAAUCGAUGAUAAAUCAUCAGAAUAUGUGUAGGAGAAUUGGACGAUUUUAAUACUCCCUCCGUUCCUAAAUAUAAGUCGAUAAGGUGUGUGUGUGUUCCCCCGCCCUACGCAAAAUUGCACUAUUUUAACACUCUGUCUUGUUUUGCCUGGAUACUCUCAUACUGUGCUUACUAUGUAAUUGCAAAAAAAUGCUUUGAUGUGAGUAAUUGUGCAUUGUGAUAGGCUCCUACAUUGCCGACGAGUGCUAGCGGAAGAGGAACCGACUACACCUCUAAGGGUGUGCGCACGAGGAUCAUUGAGGAGACGGGAACCAUGUCAUCUCCCCUAGCUUGCGAGCCCUUCAAGCAUGAUGCCAACCCAGUCAGUACAUCAACAUACACAGUCAUUUAUAUCUAUAUCUUUGUAUUCAGUAAUGUAAGUCGCAUCUUUAUCUACACUAUACAUUUUUUGUUGAUGCACUGUUGUGCUAGAUUUUUAAAUUCAAAACCGACCACAAGAUCCUUGAUUUGUGUAAUUCAUCUGAGGUUUGUUUGUUCUUUAGGUCAUAGAUGAGGAAUCUUGUCAAAGAGUCUGAUUUGCCAAUUUACACGGUACAAAUGUACAGUGCACUAAUGAGAUGUUCAUUUAUUUUUAUUUUCUCUUCAGGAAACAUGGUUUCGCUUCCAUGUGGAAGGACAUGAUAGGCAGGGUUUGAGGAGGCGAGAUUAAGGAGGUUGAAUUUCUUAAUGGUUUCCAAUACUCAUCUGAAUAGCUUCAAAGAAUUAUCAUGUGCUAAUUUCUCCAAACAUUUAUUUAGAAAACAUGUUGAGUAAUGUGCUUUCUAUUUCAGAUUGGCAUGUUAAUGAGUUGUAUUUGUGUCAAUUUGUUAGUGCAGGACAAAGUUUUUUAUGUACAUAUUGUGCUAAAUGAUUCAGAGGGUAACACUUAUUUAGUAUACCUUACUUAUUUACACAUUUGAUAGUACUUGCUUGUUGCUAGAAUCAACUUUUUAAUUCUUGUAACCUCCAGAGUCCAAAGUUGUUGGGUUGAGUCUUGUGAAAGGGUCUGGCUAUCAUUCUUAAUUUUAGAUCACAUUGGUUGGUGGUUUUUCCUUGUAUAUAGAACCUUCAAUCAAUUAUUAAACUAUGCCUUCAUCAGUGACGUUGUUCACUGCAUCAGCUCUAAGGGUGUGCGCACGGGGAUCACUGAGGAGACGGGAACCAUGUCAUCUCCCCUAGCUUGCGAUCCCUUCAAGCAUGACGCCAACCCAGUCAGUACAUCAACAUAUACAGUCAUUUAUAUCUAUAUCUUUGUAUUCAGUUAUGUAAGUUGCAUCUUUAUCUACGCCAUACAUUUUUGUUGAUGCACUGUUGUGCUAUAUUUUUAAAUUCAAAACCGACCACAAGAUCCUUGAUAUGUGUAAUUCAUCUGAGGUUUGUUUGUUCUUUAGAUCAUAGAUGAGGAAUCUUGUCAAAGAGUCUGAUUUGCCAAAUUGCACGGUACAAACCAUUUAUUUUUAUUUUCUCUUCAGGAAACAUGGUUUCGAGUCCAUGUGGAAGGACAUGACAGGCAGGGGUAUUUUCAUAGAUGGAAGCGAGAUUAAGGACGUUGAAUUCGUUAAUGGUUCUCCAAUACUCAUUUGAAUAGCCUCAAAGAAUUAUCAGAUGUUACACAAGGAAAAUGCUUAAUUAUCUCAGGUGGAAGAAAUAUUUCAACGUAAAUGAGUUACAAAUCCAUUCACUCCCAAAAUAUUGUUUUGGCGAACUUUCUACCUUUAGAUAUAAAUUAUCUGGGUUUUUUAAUGG
RNAcentral lists this long non-coding RNA (3343 nucleotides) under Triticum aestivum (bread wheat). RNAcentral describes it as "long non-coding RNA (TAES_LNC006666)". Lineage: Eukaryota; Viridiplantae; Streptophyta; Magnoliopsida; Poales; Poaceae. The record is from RNAcentral.